GCUUAACACAUGCAAGUCGAGGGGCAUCGCGGGUGGCAACACCUGGCGGCGACCGGCGAACGGGUGAGUAACGCGUGAGCAACAUGUCCUCAGUCGGGGGAUAAGCGAGGGAAACUUCGUCUAAUACCCCAUAACACUUUCAGGCGCAUGCCUUUAAGUUGAAAGCUUUUUUUGCGACUUUGGUUUGGCUCGCGUGACAUUAGCUAGUCGGUGGGGUAACGGCUCACCGAGGCUACGAUGUCUAGGGGUUCUGAGAGGAAGGCCCCCCACAUUGGGACUGGGACACGGCCCAAACUCCUACGGGAGGCAGCAGUGAGGAAUAUUGGUCAAUGGACGGAAGUCUGAACCAGCCAUGCCGCGUGAAGGAAGACUGCCCUAUGGGUUGUAAACUUCUUUUGCAGCAGAGCAAUAAGGCGUACGUGUACGCCGAUGAGAGUAUGUUGCGAAUAAGCAUCGGCUAACUCCGUGCCAGCAGCCGCGGUAAUACGGAGGAUGCGAGCGUUAUCCGGAUUUAUUGGGUUUAAAGGGUGCGUAGGCUGUUUUGUAAGUCAGCGGUGAAAGACCGGGGCCCAACUCCGGAAGUGCCGUUGAUACUGCAUUGCUAGAGUUCCCCUGCCGUGGGAGGAAUGAGUGGUGUAGCGGUGAAAUGCAUAGAUAUCACUCAGAACACCGAUUGCGAAGGCAUCUCACGAAGAGGCAACUGACGCUGGGGCACGAAAGCGUGGGGAUCAAACAGGAUUAGAUACCCUGGUAGUCCACGCUGUAAACGAUGAUGACUAGCUGCCGGCGAUACACUGUCGGUGGCCCAGCGAAAGCGAUAAGUCAUCCACCUGGGGAGUACGACCGCAAGGUUGAAACUCAAAGGAAUUGACGGGGGCCCGCACAAGCGGAGGAACAUGUGGUUUAAUUCGAUGAUACGCGAGGAACCUUACCCGGGCUCGAACGGCAGACGACUUAUACAGAGACGUAUAUUCCCUUCGGGGCGUCUGUCGAGGUGCUGCAUGGUUGUCGUCAGCUCGUGUCGUGAGAUGUUGGCUUAAGUGCCAUAACGAGCGCAACCCUUGUCGUUAGUUGCCAGCAUUCAGUUGGGGACUCUAACGAGACUGCCAGUGACAAACUGGAGGAAGGUGGGGAUGACGUCAAAUCAUCAUGCCCCUUAUGACUUGGGCUACACACGUGCUACAAUGGUUGGUACAAAGAGAAGCGAAGCGGUGACGUGGUGCAAACCUCAUAAAGCCAAUCUCAGUUCGGAUUGUAGGCUGCAACUCGCCUACAUGAAGUUGGAAUCGCUAGUAAUCGCGAAUCAGAAUGUCGCGGUGAAUACGUUCCCGGGUCUUGUACACAGCGCCCGUCAAG
Molecule: ribosomal RNA, 1356 nt
Filed under: uncultured bacterium
Lineage: Bacteria
Description: bacterial SSU rRNA
Rfam family: Bacterial small subunit ribosomal RNA
Source: RNAcentral